AGUCUAUUUAUACUUAUUAUUUUAUUCUGUGUGUAUGAAAAAUUUCAUUUUAGUUUUUGUUAUUGAUUAAGGAGUGUGAUUAGUUUUUAAAUUUUUUAAAAGAGUAUGGAAUAACGAUAAUGAGACAAUUUCUCUUAAUAAGUGCAUAUUUUUUCUUUAUAAUGACUGUUUUGUCCUCCGUAUGUAAAUAUUGUGUAUCAAAAGUGAGGGUAAAAUAGGAAAAAUAGGUAUAUGAUUGUCAUUUUCUAAAAAAAUGAGGGUAAAAUAGGGAUAUGAUUGUUAAUUUGUCAAAAGGUACAAAAUUAAAGCCUCUUCAACCACCUACCUCCUCCCACGUUCUCCUAAAUCGCAACCACUUCAGUUCAUUUAAACUAUCAAAAAAAAAAUCAUGAUUUCACUUACCUGUAUGAGAAAAUGAUGGUGGGACAAUUUAUCUUUAUUUUAUGUAAAUAUUGUGCAUCAAAACUAAGGGUAAAAUAGGAAAAAUAGAGAUAUGAUUGUUAUUUUCUCAAAAGAUACAAAAUUACUAUUUUACCCUCCUUAUGCAAAUAUUGUAUAUCAAAAAUGAGGGCAAAAUAGGAAAACUAGAGAUAUGAUUGUUAUUUUCUCAAAAGAUACAAAAUUACUAUUUUACCCUCCUUAUGCAAAUAUUGUAUAUCAAAAAUGAGGGCAAAAUAGGAAAAAAUGGUCAAAAAGUUCAAAAGAUACAAAAUUACUAUUUUACCCUCAUUAUGUAAACAUUGUAUAUCAAAAGUGAUGGCAAAAUAGAAAAAAAAGGACAAAAAUUUGACAAUGAGAGUUCUCUUAAUAAUAAUAUAGAUGUACCUAUCUCUCUCUUCCUUCACCCAUCCUAUCAGAUUUCUUUUCUCUCUUUCCCUCCCUCUCCUCUCACUAACAAAAAUUACCAUUUGCCAUACGCAAUUUUGCCUGACAAACCAACUUUCGUCGGACAAAGUACGUUUACCCACUCUUGGUCUGCGCGCGAGGAGGGAGGAGAGAGAGACUGGAUGAUACAAAACAAAAACCAAGAAAAUUGGACAGGGAACAAAGGUGGAGACUGUUGAGUGAGGGAGAGGAAAAAAACAAAAAAACAAAAACCCAUACAUGUGUGAGAGUGAGAUAGAGAAACGAUGGGAUGAGUGAAAGAAAGAGUGCGUGAAUCAUACGUGGUUGGUAUGUGCCUCAACUGUGCUCCCGUGACUUGUUCUGAUUCUAUGUAUUUGAUCAUUUUGAACUAAAAUCAAACUUUUGGGUUACAGACCCACUCAUGGUCUGCCUGCGUCAGCGCCAUGUUUUAUUAUUAUUUUAUUAAUGUUUUUUCGUUCUUAUUGUUAAUAAAAGUUGAGUAAGCGCACGAUUUGCGUCUUUUUUUUAUUAAAUAAAGAUUUCGUAGUGAUUUGUUUUUAAGAAAAAGUUUGACGAAGUCCAUUUAAUUAAGGGAACUUUAACGAAAAGCUUCCGGUAUUGUUUAUUUUAACGAAAAAUCAUAUUUUUACACUAAAAAGUCAAUCCUAGUACUAUUCACUUUACCCUUUAUUUUGUCCUUAUCAUUAAAACUUAAAAUUUUCAAGUCUUUUUCAUUAGUUUUCCUUUUAAUUAAUGCUUAAUUAGAUUAAUAGUACAUGUGAUGAUAGAGUAGUUAUAAGAUAGUCAUGUGGUAAAAAAAUUAGAAUAUAAGCUUCUGUGGUAAAGUUAUUAAGAUUUAAGCACAAAAUUAAAAAUUUCAUGAAUUUUCCGUUAAUUGUUAGCAUAUGAGGCUCACAUUUGAGACUUAAAAAAUAAAGUUAGCCUACAUGUAAGCCCCACGUGCUAACCAUUAACGAAAAGUUCUGUUUUAGCCUAAUAUAUGUGGCUCAAGUGCUAAUAAUUAACGGAUAAUUGAUGGAAUUUUUAAUUUUGGGUAUAAAUCCUAAAGAUUUCACCGUAGAAGCUUAAAUUCUAGUUUUUAUUUUAUUUUUGCCACAUGGGUUAUCUUCCAACUACCGUAUCACCAUAGGGACUAAUAAUCCAAUUAGGCCUUUAAUUAAAGCU
This 2031-nucleotide long non-coding RNA is filed under the name Malus domestica (apple). RNAcentral describes it as "long non-coding RNA (MDOM_LNC010032)". Lineage: Eukaryota; Viridiplantae; Streptophyta; Magnoliopsida; Rosales; Rosaceae. The record is from RNAcentral.